Molecule: long non-coding RNA, 1388 nt
Organism: Triticum aestivum (bread wheat)
Lineage: Eukaryota; Viridiplantae; Streptophyta; Magnoliopsida; Poales; Poaceae
Exons: 3
Source: RefSeq, a predicted model, not a curated record
ACAUAAGUAUAAUUUAGCUUUAAAAAAACAGAUGUUUCCACGGUAUAUUACAAGGUCGUGAGUCCUUGAUAAUCUAUAAUUACAAGAAUUUGUGGCCAAACAGAUACUUUUGAACCACAUCUAUACUCGCAUAAAAAUCUCAGUUAGUGAUGAUGGUGUGCGGUGUGCCUGCCAUCUAUGAUUUCAGACCAUCAGAUUUCCAUCUAAUGCAUGCAAAUGCAAGGCAUGACACAUUUGCAGAAACAUGCCCGCCACUCUGCCCAAAUUUUCACGGAACUCCUUGAUCUUUCCCAUCCAACCCCAAUCCCCACCCCUUCCCAGCUCAAGCCGCCCACCUCCUGACCUCUAGGCCUACGACUCCGUAUCCAUCGACACCUAGAAGGCUAGAACCUUCGCCGCCGCCGGCCCCUCCCACCGGCCACCUGUGUGCCGAUGCCCCCUCCAUCUAGCCGCCACCCACAUCUGCGCCGCCUACAACGCCCCCGUUCUUCUGCGCCUCCGCCCCUAGCUCGCCCAUCCAAAGCUUAUCUCCGUCCUCCCGAGCAAGCCGCCAAACCUACAGACGAGAUACUCGAUUUUUCUGCCCUCCGUAUACGAGGUUGCCAAGCUGCCGGAUCUGGUGGAAAUCGCCCCAAUCCCAGGGUGAGCUCAUAUGGCAGCUGGCUCGAGUUAGUCUACAGACCUCCACAGCCACUACACAUGAGGUGACAGACACCUAGCCAGGCCGCCACGUAUGCGGAUGCACAGCUCGUGGAUCCGGUGGAGGUGGCCCCAAUACCAGCAUCAGCUCGUCCCGCCGCUGCCCCUAACUUGCCUACAGGCUGCCGCAGGAGUCACUCACGUGGUCGGAUUAACAACCUGGUGGUCAACUUCCCUCCAGAAUUCUAUGCUACAAGAUAAAAUUAAGUGAUUUGGAACGCUACAAUAUCAAUUCGUUUACCCAUGGGCGGCAUGCUACUUCGUAUAAUGCUCACAGACAUGGAGAGAUGACGAUGCGUGACAUGGAAGGGUGACCGAGUAGGAAAUGCACUAGCAGGUUCAGUCAGUAGUCGUCAUACCUCCAUUGCACAGAUUCGUGGGGACAAGUAUUGAGAAUGGUGUGUGGGCUGGAGGGUGAAGCACAUGUUAAGCGAGGAGGAGCUGAAGACAGAGACUUAUUUGGAUUGUCAUUGCAAUUGCCAAAUGCGUGUGUGGAAAGAUUUUCUUUGUCACAUGCUCUAUGCACUAUAGGAUAGAGCAAGGAAUGAUAAAGCACAGGAAGUCCUCCUGAAAGGUGAAUAUGGAGAAGAAACCGUUUGGCUUAGAAGAAGGGUUUUUUAGUUGGAAACCGUAUGUUCGAUUGUGCUCGACGUGUAUUGAUCAACAAUAUAACAUCAUUUUGAUCAAUA